RNAcentral lists this ribosomal RNA (2121 nucleotides) under Triticum aestivum (bread wheat). RNAcentral describes it as "partial small subunit ribosomal RNA". Lineage: Eukaryota; Viridiplantae; Streptophyta; Magnoliopsida; Poales; Poaceae. The record is from RNAcentral.
AUGCGCGGUGCGGUGCUGCUGUUGCCGCUGCUGGCGGCCGUGCUGCUGCCCGCGGCGGCCGCGGCCGGCGGAGGCAACGGGAGCUGCGUGCGGAGCUGCGGCGGCAUGACGCUGCCGUACCCGUUCGGCUUCUCCAGCGACUGCACGAUACGGCUCGGUUGCGAUGUCGGGGCCGGCGUUGUGUUCGUCGGCGGCACGCGAGAGCUGGGUCUGGUCGUCCGCAACUUCACGCCGCGCGCGCUCAUCCUCAAACUGCAGCCCAACUGCUCUCGCUUGUUCAAUGCGUCCGUCGCGGCGCUCUUCUCCGACAGCUAUGCGCCCGCCUCCCGGAAUGCGCUCGUCGUCAGCUCAUGCGCCGAGGCUGCUCAAAUCAGCAACUGCAGCAGUUCGCCUGAGCGCUUCCUUGACAGGAACUCGUCCCACUGCACCGACGAGUCCAUCCGCUGCAUCGUGCCUCCUACCAACAGCACACGCGGCCACCAUUUUCUGAACAAAAGCGAGGUGCUCAGGUCGAACUGCACCGGGCUGGUGUCGGCGGUGAGCUAUUCGGAUGCAGGGGGCCCGUCGCUGCUGCUCGGCGCGCUGGAGCUGGACUGGUGGGUACCGGGGCCUUGCCGCUGUGAUGCCAGAGCCAACUGCACCCAGUUCCCGGCGACAAGGACGCGGCCGGAGGCGUUCCAGUGCGAGUGCCCGGAGGGGCUCGAGGGCGACGGCUUCGUCGAAGGCACCGGUUGCCGGGAAGUUUCCAAGUCCAAGUGCGAUCGCUCAAAUUACCUAUCAAGAGAUUGUGGCAAGAUCGUUCUCGUUGGUCUUAUCAUGGCAGGAAUAAUUUUUGGAGCCAUGGUGAUGGGCAUCGGCUGCGUGGUGUGCCACGUGCUGAAGCGCCGUUCCGCGUCCAUCCGGUCGCAGCAGAGCACGAAGCGGCUCCUGUCGGAGGCGGACUGCACGGUGCCACUCUACUCGUACCGCGAGAUCGAGCGCGCCACCAGCGGCUUCUCCGAGGACCAGCGGCUCGGCACGGGCGCCUACGGCACGGUGUACGCGGGGCGCCUCAGCGACAACCGCCUCGUCGCCGUGAAGCGGAUCAAGCACCGCGACAACGCCGACGGUGGCCUGGACUCCGUCAUGAACGAGGUGAAGCUGGUGUCCUCCGUGAGCCACCGCCACCUGGUCCGCCUCCUGGGCUGCUGCAUCGAGCAGGGCCAGCAGAUCCUGGUCUACGAGUUCAUGCCCAACGGCACGCUGGCGCAGCACCUGCAGAGGGAGCGCGGCCGCCCCGCCGUGCCGUGGACGGUGCGCCUCCGCGUGGCCGCCGAGACCGCCAAGGCCAUCGCGUACCUGCACUCGGAGGUGCACCCGCCCAUCUACCACCGCGACAUCAAAUCCAGCAACAUCCUGCUCGACCACGAGUACAACUCCAAGGUGGCCGACUUCGGGCUGUCCCGGAUGGGCAUGACGUCCGUCGACUCGUCGCACAUCUCCACCGCGCCGCAGGGCACCCCGGGCUACGUCGACCCGCAGUACCACCAGAACUUCCACCUCUCCGACAAGAGCGACGUGUACAGCUUCGGCGUGGUGCUGGUGGAGAUCAUCACGGCCAUGAAGGUUGUCGACUUCAGCCGGGGCCCCAGCGAGGUCAACCUGGCGCAGCUCGCUGUGGAGAAGAUCGGCAGGGGCUGCGUGGACGACAUCGUCGACCCCUUCCUGGACCCGCACCGGGACGCGUGGACCCUCACGUCCAUCCACAAGGUGGCGGAGCUGGCGUUCAGGUGCCUGGCGUUCCACAGCGAGAUCAGGCCGUCCAUGGCCGAGGUCGCCGACGAGCUGGAGCAGAUACAGGUCAGCGGGUGGGCGCCGUCGAAUGACGACGCCGCGUUCAUGUCGACCACGUCGUCGCUCUGCUCGUCGGCGCCGUCGCGCGGCACGGACAAGUCGUUGGGGCCGGACAAAGGCAGGGGCGAGGCAUUGUCGACGUCUGCCCCGGCGAUGGCAGUGGCAGCGCGGGAAACGGAGAAGGGCGCGGCGGGGUCCUCCCCUGUGUCCGUCCAGGAGAGGUGGUUCAGCGACAGGAGCUCCCCUUCCUCCAAUAGCCUGCUCGGGAAUAGCAGCUCGCUUCACUGA